Oreochromis niloticus (Nile tilapia) is the source of this 797-nucleotide long non-coding RNA. RefSeq lists it as uncharacterized. NCBI's taxonomy places the organism in Eukaryota, Metazoa, Chordata, Actinopteri, Cichliformes, Cichlidae. The record is from RefSeq and is a predicted model, not a curated record. The transcript is spliced from 2 exons.
GUAGCAACUUACAGAAGCAUCUAGUUACCCACUCUGGAAUUAAGGCAUACAGCUGUGACAUCUGUGGAAAAACUUUCAGCCAGAGAGGGCACCGAAAUACACACCUACGCAUUCACACCAGACAUGAUGUGUACUGCUGUGAACAGUGUGGCAAAGAGUUUAUAACAGACACACAGUUACAACAACACAUGUUUACCCACACUGAGGAGAGACCUUAUAAAUGUGACCUGUGUGAGAAGACUUUUAAAUCUCCACGUUACCUGAGACAACACCAACAGAUCCACACCAGAAAGAGACUCUACAAGUGCAGUUACUGUGAGAAGCAGAGCGACACAGAUGGAUCCAGUUCUCAACCCUGUCAUCACUGUGGUGGUGGGAAAGACUUUCGUUGUGACCUCUGUGGAAAAAGUUUCAGUUGGAAAGUUGACUUAAAAAGACAUCAACGUAGACACACUGGAGACAAACUGAAAUACUGCAAAGAAUGUGGGAGAAGCUUCACCACAUCACAUAACUUAAAACGACAUGAACUGAUUCACAGUGGGGUUAAAAAGCACCUCUGUGAUCAGUGUGGGUCAUCCUUCACCACUGCAGGUGAGCUUAAAUUACACAAACGAGUCCACACAGGAGAGAAACCAUACAAGUGCAGACACUGUGACAAAAGUUUCUCAUGUUCAAGUAGUCGUAACAAGCAUGAACGUACACACAUGGAAGGAAACUACAGCUGUGACCAGUGUGACAAGAGCUUCAGGAAUCUCAGUUCAUACUCCAAACACAAACGAUCCCACGUUACUAAUAAA